CAAGAGAUAAACGCAUUGAUCUCUUAUUUCAGUAUGUAUUAUAAUUUAUGUUUUGAUAAGCAGCAAUCUUCGUACUCAGGCAACAAGAUCGCAGAGGAUUUCGAUUGCUUUGCUUAUCAUACAUUUGACAUAGUAGUGGACUGUAUACAUAUACGUAAAUAUUUUCUGUAUGUAAAUAAGUAUGUUUUGUUUCUUGCAUUGCAUGUGCAGACAAAUCGAUCCUUUUCUAAAUACAUGUUCAUAUGGAUGAGUAUAUGUUAUUGGCUAAGUAGGUACAUACAUAUGCACGUAUUUUUUAUGUUAAAUUUUAUUACCCUGGCAGAUAUGUACUCAUGUUCAAAGAUGUUUGAACAUAUUGCCGAGGACAAAAAAGUGAUUAUUUGUGCAGAUAUACCCAUGUUCAAAGAUAUUUGAACAACGUCUGUUAAGGUGAAUGGUAAACGUACCGAACAACCUUUAGAGAGAGAGCAGAAAUUAGUCGAAUCUUCGACGGGAUCGACCACGGUACCAGUCAGAUCAUCCGGUA
Rhagoletis pomonella (apple maggot) is the source of this 526-nucleotide long non-coding RNA. RefSeq lists it as uncharacterized. The transcript is spliced from 2 exons. The record is from RefSeq and is a predicted model, not a curated record. NCBI's taxonomy places the organism in Eukaryota, Metazoa, Arthropoda, Insecta, Diptera, Tephritidae.